This 85-nucleotide transfer RNA is filed under the name Felis catus (domestic cat). It matches the Rfam family "tRNA". Rfam says of the family: Transfer RNA (tRNA) molecules are approximately 80 nucleotides in length. The record is from Rfam by way of RNAcentral. Lineage: Eukaryota; Metazoa; Chordata; Mammalia; Carnivora; Felidae.
GCCUGGGUAGCUCAGUCAGUUGAGCAUCUGACUUCUGCUCAGGUCAUGAUCUCACGGUUUACGGGUUCGAGCCCCGCAUCGGGUU